AACGAACGCUGGCGGCAGGCUUAACACAUGCAAGUCGAACGCCCCGCAAGGGGAGUGGCAGACGGGUGAGUAACGCGUGGGAAUCUACCGUACCCUACGGAAUAACGCAUGGAAACGUGUGCUAAUACCGUAUACGCCCUACGGGGGAAAGAUUUAUCGGGGUAUGAUGAGCCCGCGUUGGAUUAGCUAGUUGGUGGGGUAAAGGCCUACCAAGGCGACGAUCCAUAGCUGGUCUGAGAGGAUGAUCAGCCACAUUGGGACUGAGACACGGCCCAAACUCCUACGGGAGGCAGCAGUGGGGAAUAUUGGACAAUGGGCGCAAGCCUGAUCCAGCCAUGCCGCGUGAGUGAUGAAGGUCUUAGGAUUGUAAAGCUCUUUCACCGGAGAAGAUAAUGACGGUAUCCGGAGAAGAAGCCCCGGCUAACUUCGUGCCAGCCGCCGCCGUAA
This 447-nucleotide ribosomal RNA is filed under the name uncultured bacterium. Its description in RNAcentral is "partial 16S ribosomal RNA". It matches the Rfam family "Bacterial small subunit ribosomal RNA", at positions 29 to 523 of the family's 1533-position model. The record is from RNAcentral.